RNAcentral lists this non-coding RNA (20 nucleotides) under Rattus norvegicus (Norway rat). Lineage: Eukaryota; Metazoa; Chordata; Mammalia; Rodentia; Muridae. The record is from RNAcentral.
CUGGGUGGUACUACUGCUGC